Molecule: unclassified non-coding RNA, 206 nt
Filed under: Hevea brasiliensis (rubber tree)
Lineage: Eukaryota; Viridiplantae; Streptophyta; Magnoliopsida; Malpighiales; Euphorbiaceae
Source: RNAcentral
UCUCCAGGGUAGUCAGCAACGCACCCAAUCCUUGGCCCAGCUCCCGUUGACCAGUUGAGUGAAAGCUUAUGCCCCAAUUGAUAAGAUUUUACGGCCUCCUUAGAAUUGAUUCUGUGCAAGAUGGCCGUCUUUGGUAUUUCAGCUCCUGGGCUUUUAAGACCAGCAGAUAAAGUCCUCUUGUAUUCACCCUUGGUUUCAGUUUGCCC